AACGCGAAGAACCUUACCAGGGCUUGACAUGACCAGGACACCGGCGGAAACGUGGGCUCCCCGCAAGGGGCCUGGCCACAGGUGUUGCAUGGCUGUUGUCAGCUCGUGUCGUGAGAUGUUGGGUUAAGUCCCGCAACGAGCGCAACCCUUAUCCGUAGUUGCCAGCGAGUCAUGGCGGGGACUUUACGGAGACUGCCGGCGGUAAGCCGGAGGAAGGUGGAGAUGACGUCAAGUCUUCAUGGCCCUUAUGCCCAGGGCUACACACGUGUUACAAUGGUCGGUACAAAGGGUUGGGAAGCCGCGAGGUGGAGCUAAUCCCAAAAAGCCGGCCUCAGUUCGGAUUGGAGUUUGCAAUUGGACUCCAUGAAGUUGGAAUCGUUAGUAAUCGUGGAUCAGCACGCCACGGUGAGUACGUUCCCGGGCCUUGUACACACCG
Molecule: ribosomal RNA, 436 nt
Filed under: uncultured bacterium
Lineage: Bacteria
Description: bacterial SSU rRNA
Rfam family: Bacterial small subunit ribosomal RNA
Source: RNAcentral